RNAcentral lists this ribosomal RNA (374 nucleotides) under uncultured bacterium. Its description in RNAcentral is "bacterial SSU rRNA". It matches the Rfam family "Bacterial small subunit ribosomal RNA", at positions 524 to 898 of the family's 1533-position model. The record is from RNAcentral.
UACGUAGGGAGCAAGCGUUGUCCGGAAUUACUGGGCGUAAAGGGUGCGUAGGCGGCUUGGCAAGUCAGAUGUGAAAUCCCCGGGCUUAACUCGGGGGGUGCAUUUGAAACUGCUGAGCUUGAGUGCAGGAGAGGAAAGCGGAAUUCCUAGUGUAGCGGUGAAAUGCGUAGAUAUUAGGAGGAACACCAGUGGCGAAGGCGGCUUUCUGGACUGUAACUGACGCUGAGGCACGAAAGCGUGGGGAGCAAACAGGAUUAGAUACCCUGGUAGUCCACGCUGUAAACGAUGGAUACUAGGUGUGGGGGACAUACAACCUCCGUGCCGGAGCAAACGCAAUAAGUAUCCCGCCUGGGGAGUACGGUCGCAAGACUGAA